CACCUCUGGGCAGGAGGGGCGCAGCGUGGGCGGGGACUCGUCAACUUCGCCAGCUCCCCAUCUCCGCGCUGAGACUGCUGCCUCUUUCCUAGGCUGGGCUGAGCACGCUGGCCCGUGGCUCCGCAGCCCCGGCGCGGCUCAGGUGGGCGAGCGCGCGGACCUGCGGGCGAGUGGCAGCGAAUAGAGCAGCACGAUACCCUCCGCCGCGGCCCCGCGAGCACUAAUCUCACUGCCGGUCUCGGGGCUGUAGGAAACGAGGGAGGCGACGCGGCCGGAGAGUGACGGCGCGGCCGGGCCAAUCACGCGCUGCCCAGGGUCCCGCGGGGCGGGGCCGAGGCAAGGAGGGGCUGCGCGGGGCGGGGAGUUUACGGGAAGCGCAGCCUCGCGGGGGCCCGGCCGGCGGCGGGGAGGUCGCCGGGCAGGGAGGCGCGAGAUCUGCUGCUCCCUGGAAUCAUGUUCCUGGCUCCUGGUAGUCCCUGACUUUACCUGUCUGUUCCAGGAACUUGCCUUAUGGCCAUUUGUUCUGAUGAUCAGUUUGGACAACCACCCUUUAUUCCACCACCUCAGACCAUAGUCAACAUCCUGUAACCAUCAUAGCAGUAAAUGUCUGGAAGAACAUCAAAACAGAUGAAAGUGAGCAGAGAAUUGUGAAAAAGACUGCUACAGAGACACAAGAUGAACACGGAAGAGACAAGCCCACUGUUUCACUAUGUGCUGUAUCACUUGGAUGAAAGAUACGACUCAAUUUGACCUUUUUUCUUCCAUAUUCAAAAGCAGGAAAGUUACUUUUCCAGCUGAAAAAGUAGAAUUAAAGUCUGAAAUAUGCUAAUCUCUUUUACAAGAAAUCAUCUUAAUUUUAAUUAAAUUAUCCUAUAGUUUACUGAAAGGAUUUACAAACACAACUGCAGAAUUUCCCUCAGUAAUGUUUAAGAAAUAAUAGUGAAUAUGAAUGGUACCACACUAAGAGACUGACAAUUUUCUAAAAAAAUGUAUCAUGUCCUAAAAAUUGGGUGUUGAUAUACUUGAUGUUAAUAUUACAAACUUUUUAGAACUAAAAACUAUAAUAGUUGACUUAUGAACUCUUAAAAAUUGUAUCUUCUCUCUCUCUUUCUCUGUCUCUCAGAUCAACCACAAUCUCCAGAUAUAAAACACAGGGAACCAGGGAACCAGAUACCAGCUCAAGGAAGGACGAGUUUUCUUAAAAUUUACAGUGGCCCAAAUUUGGACCAUCAGUAACAACCGCAUGUUCUCAAUGUAUGUAGUGGACUGAGGCCAAAGCAGAACCACCACCACAGUCUGAAGAGUCCUUUAAGAAAUUCUCUUAUUGGGCGGGGUUGGGAUUAAGUGAUCUCAAAUUGCUGUUUUAAUCCUUAGUUCCUAAAAUUCUACACAUCUGUCUUGGGUGAAUGGAACAGACCAGCUUACAAAACACAGAUCCAUUUCACUGUCUUCUAGGUUUCACCCAUUAUUGGUAUGAGAUGGCAUGAGGUCCAGAGGAGUGUGGAAGCUCAUGUGAGCAUCAUUACUGAGGGUAGAGGACUUGCUGUCUGCACACCC
This is a long non-coding RNA of Macaca fascicularis (crab-eating macaque), 1557 nucleotides long. The record is from Ensembl. NCBI's taxonomy places the organism in Eukaryota, Metazoa, Chordata, Mammalia, Primates, Cercopithecidae.